AACCCAACAUACUCAAUCCAGAGGAGCCAACUUUCAGAUCAGUUUUCUGUUGACUUAAAGAUGCUACUGCAAAAACCUAGACCAGCACCCAAUACCCACUUUGCUGCCAGACUUUUGAAGUCUGGGAAUUGGCAGCUGAAGGAAACGUAAGCCUCUUCUCCUGGUUUAACACCAGAGGGAAAACGUGAGGGAGAUAAGGAGGCUGUCUAUUAAUUAACCAGCCCUGUUUUACCACGCUGAACUUUGGGUAGCAGCCAUUAAUCAGUCCUACAUAGCGCCGGACAAGGAACUGCAAUCACCCUGGAAAAUACAUCUGAAACGAGAAGGAAAGAUAGAGAGGGCAAACCAUGGCUGUGCAGAGGGGAUUCUGGAAAGGAAACCAGAGCCCUUCUGCCCCACCCUAAACAAGAUGAAGGACGAGAAGGUUCUGACACCGACAGAAGCCUCCUCUUCAGAGACACAAUCUCCUUCCCUGUGUCCCAACAACAAACUGCCAGGAGGAUGAAACGAAUGACACAUUCGUUUUGGAGAUACAAGAACUGGCAAAAAACGAGGACUCUGGAUGCAGCCAAUGGUGCGUGAAAAGGAACAGGUUCAAAGAGUGAAAUCAGAACAAGGCAAAGCACGACCUUUGAUGUCACAAGAAAAGAAGAAAAGGAAAGAAAUCAAAUACAUGUGUCGAUCAACUGAGUCAAACAUAUUUUCUGUUUCAGGAAUAUGGAGUGAGUUAGUGCUGCCUGCACAAUGGAAAGAGGUCCUCCAGCUUAAAUGAAAAGCUAGGUAGUCACACCUUUUAUCUGGAGAGACCUUAAAUAAAUAAAUCUGCUCAAAAAACUA
Long non-coding RNA from Pan troglodytes (chimpanzee), 837 nucleotides. RefSeq lists it as uncharacterized. The transcript has 4 exons. The record is from RefSeq and is a predicted model, not a curated record. NCBI's taxonomy places the organism in Eukaryota, Metazoa, Chordata, Mammalia, Primates, Hominidae.